This 203-nucleotide unclassified non-coding RNA is filed under the name uncultured Basidiomycota. RNAcentral describes it as "sequence contains ITS1". The record is from RNAcentral. Lineage: Eukaryota; Fungi; Basidiomycota.
CCGAACUGUCGACACGAGUUGUUGCUGGUCCUCAAAUGUGGGGGCAUGUGCACACUCUGUUUACAAAUCCACUCACACCUGUGCACCUUCAGUAGUUCUGUGGUGUGGAGGACACUGUCCUCCGGCCGUGGUCCUACAUCUUUACACACACACACGGUGAUAAAGUCUAAUGGGAUGUAUGUAGCGUUUAACGCAAUAUAAUA